GACAGAGGGUGCAAACGUUGCUCGGAAUUACUGGGCGUAAAGCGCGUGUAGGUGGAUUGGUGUGUCAGAUGUGAAAGCCCUGGGCUCAACCCAGGAACUGCACCUGAAACUACCAGUCUUGAGUGGUGGAGAGGGAAGUGGAAUUCCUGGUGUAGAGGUGAAAUUCGUAGAUAUCAGGAGGAACACCAGUGGCGAAGGCGGCUUCCUGGACACUAACUGACGCUGAGACGCGAAAGCUAGGGGAGCAAACAGG
Molecule: ribosomal RNA, 253 nt
Filed under: uncultured bacterium
Lineage: Bacteria
Description: partial 16S ribosomal RNA
Rfam family: Bacterial small subunit ribosomal RNA
Source: RNAcentral